Molecule: transfer RNA, 73 nt
Filed under: Groenewaldozyma salmanticensis
Lineage: Eukaryota; Fungi; Ascomycota; Dipodascomycetes; Dipodascales; Trichomonascaceae
Description: tRNA-Asp
Rfam family: tRNA
About the family: Transfer RNA (tRNA) molecules are approximately 80 nucleotides in length.
Source: RNAcentral
GGGUUAAUAGCUUAAUCGGUAAAGUAUUUGUUUGUCAUACAAAUGGAUGCACGUUCAAAUCGUGUUUAACUCG